UGUGUGUGUGUGUUUAUAUAUAUGUGUGUAGUCAAUUCAAGGAUAUCUUAUCCUCAUUAGGGAUUAAUAAAUCCAAAAUUUCACUGGUUUAAUCUCCAUCACAUUAGAAGAAAAUGUCUACAUUGUGUAAUGGAUAAUGAACUAUGUACCAAAAGAAAAAUAGGAAAAU
Molecule: long non-coding RNA, 169 nt
Organism: Octopus sinensis (East Asian common octopus)
Lineage: Eukaryota; Metazoa; Mollusca; Cephalopoda; Octopoda; Octopodidae
Exons: 3
Source: RefSeq, a predicted model, not a curated record